Molecule: ribosomal RNA, 483 nt
Filed under: uncultured bacterium
Lineage: Bacteria
Description: partial 16S ribosomal RNA
Rfam family: Bacterial small subunit ribosomal RNA
Source: RNAcentral
AUUGAACGCUGGCGGCAUGCUUUACACAUGCAAGUCGAACGGCAGCGCGGGCUUCGGCCUGGCGGCGAGUGGCGAACGGGUGAGUAAUGCAUCGGAACGUGCCCAGUAGUGGGGGAUAGCCCGGCGAAAGCCGGAUUAAUACCGCAUACGACCUGAGGGUGAAAGCGGGGGACCGAAAGGCCUCGCGCUAUUGGAGCGGCCGAUGUCGGAUUAGCUAGUUGGUGGGGUAAAGGCUUACCAAGGCGACGAUCCGUAGCUGGUCUGAGAGGACGACCAGCCACACUGGGACUGAGACACGGCCCAGACUCCUACGGGAGGCAGCAGUGGGGAAUUUUGGACAAUGGGGGCAACCCUGAUCCAGCCAUGCCGCGUGCGGGAAGAAGGCCUUCGGGUUGUAAACCGCUUUUGUUCGGGAAGAAAUCCUCUGGGCUAAUACCCCGGGGGGAGGACGGGACCGGAAGAAUAAGCACCGGCGAACUACGU